RNAcentral lists this ribosomal RNA (433 nucleotides) under uncultured bacterium. RNAcentral describes it as "partial 16S ribosomal RNA". It matches the Rfam family "Bacterial small subunit ribosomal RNA", at positions 29 to 507 of the family's 1533-position model. The record is from RNAcentral.
AACGAACGCUGGCGGCAUGCCUAACACAUGCAAGUCGAACGAACCCUUCGGGGUUAGUGGCGCACGGGUGCGUAACGCGUGGGAAUCUGCCCUUUGCUUCGGAAUAACUCAGGGAAACUUGUGCUAAUACCGGAUGAUGUCUUCGGACCAAAGAUUUAUCGGCAAGGGAUGAGCCCGCGUAGGAUUAGGUAGUUGGUGGGGUAAAGGCCUACCAAGCCGACGAUCCUUAGCUGGUCUGAGAGGAUGAUCAGCCACACUGGGACUGAGACACGGCCCAGACUCCUACGGGAGGCAGCAGUGGGGAAUAUUGGACAAUGGGCGCACGCCUGAUCCAGCAAUGCCGCGUGAGUGAUGAAGGCCCUCGGGUCGUAAAGCUCUUUUACCAGGGAUGAUAAUGACAGUACCUGGAGAAUAAGCUCCGGCUAACUCCGUG